AUGAACGCUAGCGGCAGGCUUAACACAUGCAAGUCGAGGGGCAGCAUACCCGGUGACGGGUGAUGGCGACCGGCGUAAGGGUGAGUAACGCGUGAGCAACAUACCCGUAUCAGUGGGAUAAUACAGGGAAACUUGUUCUAAUAUCACAUAAUAUUAUACAGAGGCAUCUUUGUAUAAUUAAAGUUCAGGCGGAUACGGAAUGGCUCGCGUGACAUUAGCUAGAUGGUAGGGUAAAGGCCUACCAUGGCUAUGAUGUCUAGGGGUUCUGAGAGGGAGGUCCCCCACACUGGAACUGAGACACGGUCCAGACUCCUACGGGAGGCAGCAGUGAGGAAUAUUGGACAAUGGAUGAAAAUCUGAUCCAGCCAUGCCGCGUGCAGGAAGGCGGCCCUAUGGGUUGUAAACUGCUUUUGUACGGGAGCAAUAAGGUCUACGAGUAGAUUGAUGAGAGUACUGUACGAAUAAGCAUCGGCUAACUCCGUG
This 483-nucleotide ribosomal RNA is filed under the name uncultured bacterium. RNAcentral describes it as "bacterial SSU rRNA". It matches the Rfam family "Bacterial small subunit ribosomal RNA", at positions 29 to 507 of the family's 1533-position model. The record is from RNAcentral.